GGUGGUUCCGAGUGGAAGGGCCAUCGCUCAACGGAUAAAAGCUACCCUGGGGAUAACAGGCUGAUCUCCCCCAAGAGUCCACAUCGACGGGGAGGUUUGGCACCUCGAUGUCGGCUCAUCACAUCCUGGGGCUGUAGUAGGUCCCAAGGGUUGGGCUGUUCGCCCAUUAAAGUGGUACGCGAGCUGGGUUCAGAACGUCGUGAGACAGUUCGGUCCCUAUCCGUCGCAGGCGUAGGAAAUUUGAGAGGAGCUGUCCUUAGUACGAGAGGACCGGGAUGGACAUACCUCUGGUGCACCAGUUGUCACGCCAGUGGCAUAGCUGGGUAGCUAUGUAUGGACUGGAUAAGCGCUGAAAGCAUCUAAGCGCGAAGCCACCCUCAAGAUAAGAUUUCCCACUUUUUAAGGUAAGACCCCAAGAAGACUACUUGGUUGAUAGGCUCAAGGUGUAAGCGCAGUAAUGUGUUCAGCUUAUGAGUACUAAUAGGUCGAGGACUUGACCAA
RNAcentral lists this non-coding RNA (501 nucleotides) under Alkalithermobacter paradoxus. Its description in RNAcentral is "Clostridium thermoalcaliphilum Bacterial large subunit ribosomal RNA". It matches the Rfam family "Bacterial large subunit ribosomal RNA", at positions 2422 to 2925 of the family's 2925-position model. Lineage: Bacteria; Bacillati; Bacillota; Clostridia; Peptostreptococcales; Tepidibacteraceae. The record is from Rfam by way of RNAcentral.